AUACGGAGGGUGCAAGCGUUACUCGGAAUCACUGGGCGUAAAGCGCGCGCAGGCGGCUAUUUAAGUUGGAUGUGAAAGCCUACGGCUCAACCGUAGAACUGCAUCCAAAACUAUUUAGCUAGAGUGUGAGAGAGGAAGAUGGAAUUAGUUGUGUAGGGGUAAAAUCCGUAGAGAUAACUAGGAAUACCAAAAGCGAAGGCAAUCUUCUGGAACACUACUGACGCUGAGGCGCGAAAGCGUGGGGAGCAAACGGGAUUAGAUACCCUAGUAGUCC
Molecule: ribosomal RNA, 274 nt
Filed under: uncultured bacterium
Lineage: Bacteria
Description: partial 16S ribosomal RNA
Rfam family: Bacterial small subunit ribosomal RNA
Source: RNAcentral